RNAcentral lists this ribosomal RNA (497 nucleotides) under uncultured bacterium. RNAcentral's name for it is "partial 16S ribosomal RNA". It matches the Rfam family "Bacterial small subunit ribosomal RNA", at positions 28 to 507 of the family's 1533-position model. The record is from RNAcentral.
GAUGAACGCUGGGGGCGUGCCUAAUACAUGCAAGUCGAGCGAACGGACGAGAAGCUUGCUUCUCUGAUGUUAGCGGCGGACGGGUGAGUAACACGUGGAUAACCGACCUAUAAGACUGGGAUAACUUCGGGAAACCGGGGCUAAUAACGGAUAAUAUUUUGAACCGCAUUGUUCAUAAGUAAAAGACGGUCUUGCUGUCACUUAUAGAUGGAUCCGCGCUGCAUUAGCUAGUUGGUAAGGUAACGGCUUACGAAGGCAACGAUGCAUAGCCGACAUGUGAGGGUUAUCGGCCACACUGGAACUGAGACACGGUCCAGACUCCUACGGGAGGCAGCAGUAGGGAAUCUUCCGCAAUGGGCGAAAGCCUGACGGAGCAACGCCGCGUGAGUGAUGAAGGUCUUCGGAUCGUAAAACUCUGUUAUUAGGGAAGAACAUAUGUGUAAGUAACUGUGCACAUCUUGACGGUACCUAAUCAGAAAGCCACGGCUAACUACGUG